AAGCAAAGAAAAUGAGAAAAAGUUUCUGCUUAACACUGCAACCAACACAAAUGAGCCGAUAAGCAAAUACUGCUGAAUUACAUUCAUUUGGUGUCAUCUUUGUUUCAGGAGACUGCUACACAACUAGAGGAUGACUAUCAGACACUGUCUCAUAAGGACAGGGCCGUAUAUGAAGUGUGCGUCCUUCAAACAAACACAGGAAUUAAGUGAGCGGCGGAUGUCGAGUUCUUCACGUCUGCCUCUUUGGACUCCCAACACUGCAUUGACAUGAAGACACCAGCCUGGCUAAGCUGUCUGAGCAGCUUUAACUUUUAUAGGACUUACCUGGUGGCCAGUUCUGCUUGCCUUCUGCUCCUUUUCUUGGUCUUAUUCUUCUUCUGGUUUUGUUCCUUUGACAUUCUCUCAUUUCUCAAAUAAAAGCAUUAAUCCUA
Long non-coding RNA from Erpetoichthys calabaricus (reedfish), 431 nucleotides. RefSeq lists it as uncharacterized. The transcript is spliced from 2 exons. The record is from RefSeq and is a predicted model, not a curated record. NCBI's taxonomy places the organism in Eukaryota, Metazoa, Chordata, Cladistia, Polypteriformes, Polypteridae.